CGGGGAACGUUAAGGGCGGCGAGCGGCGGACGGGUGAGUAAUGCCUGGGAAUAUGCCCUGAUGUGGGGGAUAACUAUUGGAAACGAUAGCUAAUACCGCAUAAUCUCUUCGGAGCAAAGAGGGGGACCUUCGGGCCUCUCGCGUCAGGAUUAGCCCAGGUGGGAUUAGCUUGUUGGUGAGGUAAUGGCUCACCAAGGCAACGAUCCCUAGCUGGUCUGAGAGGAUGAUCAGCCACACUGGAACUGAGACACGGUCCAGACUCCUACGGGAGGCAGCAGUGGGGAAUAUUGCACAAUGGGGGAAACCCUGAUGCAGCCAUGCCGCGUGUAUGAAGAAGGCCUUCGGGUUGUAAAGUACUUUCAGUAGGGAGGAAGGCAGUGUCGUUAAUAGCGGCAUUGUUUGACGUUACCUACAGAAGAAGCACCGGCUAACUCCGUGCCAGCAGCCGCGGUAAUACGGAGGGUGCGAGCGUUAAUCGGAAUUACUGGGCGUAAAGCGCAUGCAGGCGGUCUGUUAAGCAAGAUGUGAAAGCCCGGGGCUCAACCUCGGAACAGCAUUUUGAACUGGCAGACUAGAGUCUUGUAGAGGGGGGUAGAAUUUCAGGUGUAGCGGUGAAAUGCGUAGAGAUCUGAAGGA
Molecule: ribosomal RNA, 636 nt
Filed under: Photobacterium sp. PASCW16
Lineage: Bacteria; Pseudomonadati; Pseudomonadota; Gammaproteobacteria; Vibrionales; Vibrionaceae
Description: bacterial SSU rRNA
Rfam family: Bacterial small subunit ribosomal RNA
Source: RNAcentral